CCUACGUGAGGCAGCAGUAGGGAAUCUUCCACAAUGGGCGAAAGCCUGAUGGAGCAACGCCGCGUGGGUGAAGAGGGUCUUCGGAUCGUAAAACCCUGUUGUUAGAGAAGAAAGUGCGUUAGAGUAACUGUUCACGUUUCGACGGUAUCUAACCAGAAAGCCACGGCUAACUACGUGCCAGCAGCCGCGGUAAUACGUAGGUGGCAAGCGUUAUCCGGAUUUAUUGGGCGUAAAGGGAACGCAGGCGGUCUUUUAAGUCUGAUGUGAAAGCCUUCGGCUUAACCGGAGUAGUGCAUUGGAAACUGGGAGACUUGAGUGCAGAAGAGGAGAGUGGAACUCCAUGUGUAGCGGUGAAAUGCGUAGAUAUAUGGAAGAACACCAGUGGCGAAAGCGGCUCUCUGGUCUGUAACUGACGCUGAGGUUCGAAAGCGUGGGUAGCAAACAGGAUUAGAUACCCUGGUAGUC
RNAcentral lists this ribosomal RNA (465 nucleotides) under uncultured bacterium. Its description in RNAcentral is "partial 16S ribosomal RNA". It matches the Rfam family "Bacterial small subunit ribosomal RNA", at positions 338 to 795 of the family's 1533-position model. The record is from RNAcentral.